This 663-nucleotide ribosomal RNA is filed under the name uncultured soil bacterium. RNAcentral describes it as "bacterial SSU rRNA". It matches the Rfam family "Bacterial small subunit ribosomal RNA", at positions 35 to 692 of the family's 1533-position model. The record is from RNAcentral.
GCUGGCGGCGUGCCUAAUACAUGCAAGUCGAGCGAGGUUCUUCGGAACCUAGCGGCGGACGGGUGAGUAACACGUGGGUAACCUGCCUGUAAGACCGGGAUAACUUCGGGAAACCGAAGCUAAUACCGGAUACUUUCGAGCAUCGCAUGAUGCUUGAUGGAAAGACGGCUUCGGCUGUCACUUACAGAUGGACCCGCGUCGCAUUAGCUAGUUGGUGAGGUAACGGCUCACCAAGGCGACGAUGCGUAGCCGACCUGAGAGGGUGAUCGGCCACACUGGGACUGAGACACGGCCCAGACUCCUACGGGAGGCAGCAGUAGGGAAUCUUCGGCAAUGGGCGAAAGCCUGACCGAGCAACGCCGCGUGAGCGAUGAAGGCCUUCGGGUCGUAAAGCUCUGUUGUUAAGGAAGAACAAGUACGAGAGUAACUGCUCGUACCUUGACGGUACUUAACGAGAAAGCCACGGCUAACUACGUGCCAGCAGCCCGCGGUAAUACGUAGGUGGCGAGCGUUAUCCGGAAUUAUUGGGCGUAAAGCGCGCGCAGGCGGUUUCUUAAGUCUGAUGUGAAAGCCCACGGCUCAACCGUGGAGGGUCAUUGGAAACUGGGAAACUUGAGUGCAGAAGAGGAAAGCGGAAUUCCACGUGUAGCGGUGAAAUGCGUA